GUUAUAUUGAGAAGUGGGGCCCUUAGGAGGUGAUUAGGCUAUUAGAGGUCAGCUCUGGUGAAUUGGUUAGUGACUUAUAAAAGGGCUCGAGGGGACAAGUUUGCCUCUUCUGCUCUUCUACCACACAACAUUCAUCCUGCCUUGUCCCUCCAUCCCCUUCCCCUCAUGUAAAGAUGUCUCCAUGAGAAGGUGCCCUCAGUGGAGUAGAACCUCACCAGAUACUGAACUUGCCAGUGCUCUGACCUGGGACUUUUCAGCAACCAGAAUUGUGAGGAAUAAAUUUCUCUUCAUUAUAAAUUAGGUGAUUGAUCAUGGGGCAGAACUUCCAUGAAUGGGGCUAGUACCCUUACAAAAGGGUCUCAAGAGAAACCCCUCACCAUUUCCCCUAUGUGAAGACACAGUCAAGAAGCUUCUGUUUCUGAGCCAGAAACAGGCUCACCUCAAACACCAAAUGUGCCUUGAUUUUGGACACCACACCCUCCAGAAUUGUAAGAAAUAAAUUUCUAUUGCUUAGAAAUCUACGGAGUUUAUGGUAUUUUGUGGUAACAACCCAAAUAGCUAAGACACUUAACCUGGCAUCGAGGUGUUCAGUCUUUCAUGAAAAAGAAACCACCACCCUGCUGACAUCUUGGAUGUAAGUCUUCCGAUUGUUCUUUGCGGAACAGAAAAACUCUGCAUGAGUAUAUUUAUCUACUGUUUUAUAAUCAAAUUCCUACGUGUUGCUUGCUGACGUUUCUCUUACCUAAGAAGCAGCAUAGGUCAGAACUCGAGAGCACGGGGACCCAUCACUUACUUGACAUUGCCCUGUGUCCCCAUUUUCUCCUCCCUUUAUUCCUUCUUUCAAUAUUUUAGGACACGGAGACCUGCUCGGUAUCUUCAGAAGAGGAGCAGCCCUACUAUUUCUAGUUUGUGCCAAGAGGGCUGUCCCAAGUAACAAUUGACUUUGUUCCACUUGGAUUCUGAGUGGCCAAAGAGGGACCACUUAACCACAAGUUUACUGCAGAGCAGUCCCCUGCCGGGCUCCUUUUCCAUGGAAGAGGAAUCUGCUACCAUCUGUAUGUGACAAGAGCAAGCAGCUUGGGGCCUGUUUAAGUCACUGUAUGAG
RNAcentral lists this long non-coding RNA (1105 nucleotides) under Marmota monax (woodchuck). The record is from RNAcentral. Lineage: Eukaryota; Metazoa; Chordata; Mammalia; Rodentia; Sciuridae.